RNAcentral lists this unclassified non-coding RNA (254 nucleotides) under Patescibacteria group bacterium. RNAcentral describes it as "contains 16S-23S intergenic spacer region". It matches the Rfam family "Bacterial small subunit ribosomal RNA", at positions 524 to 776 of the family's 1533-position model. The record is from RNAcentral.
UACGUAGGUGGCAAGCGUUGUCCGGAAUCACUGGGCGUAAAGCGUGUGUAGGCGGUAUGUUAAGUGAUAUGCGAAAUCUUGUGGCUCAACCAUAUAGACUGUGUAUCAUACUGGCAUACUUGAGGAUGGCAGAGGCAAGUGGAAUUGGCAGUGUAGCAGUGAAAUGCGUAGAUAUUGCCAGGAACACCAAUGGCGAAGGCAGCUUGCUGGGCCAUUUCUGACGCUGAGACACGAAAGCGUGGGGAGCGAACAGG